This is a non-coding RNA of Eubalaena glacialis (North Atlantic right whale), 477 nucleotides long. The record is from the annotation of a RefSeq genome assembly. Lineage: Eukaryota; Metazoa; Chordata; Mammalia; Artiodactyla; Balaenidae.
AAAGCCACCUGCCUCUGCCCUUUUCCUGAUUCUGCCAUGGGCCCAAAAUUCACCUGCUUCAUUGUCCUUUGUCUCCUGGGUGCAGGCUUCCUUGAGGCAGAAGUCAGCCAGGCUCCAGGGCACCUGGUCCAAGGGAAAGGACAGAAAGUGAAAAUGUAUUGUGUUCCAAGAAAAGGAGACAUUUAUGUUUCCUGGUAUCGACAGAUCCUGGCAAAAGAGUUCAAGUUCUUGGUUUCCUUCCAAAAUAAUGCCUUGGAUGAAACAGAGAUGCCCAAGGAGAGGUUUUCCGCUGAGUGCCCCCAAGGCUCACCCUGUAGCCUGGAGAUCCAGCCUGCGGAGCUGCAGGAUUCAGCCGUGUAUCUUUGUGCCAGCAGUCCCCAGCCCGGCCGUGCAGGAAGACGCGUGAAAAGGCGCUUCCCCGUCCUCCUGCCUCAGAAGCAGCAGCUUGAUUGCUGUGGCUCCAGCUGCGGCCGGUAG